Molecule: ribosomal RNA, 465 nt
Filed under: uncultured bacterium
Lineage: Bacteria
Description: partial 16S ribosomal RNA
Rfam family: Bacterial small subunit ribosomal RNA
Source: RNAcentral
CCUACGGGUGGCAGCAGUAGGGAAUUUUUCACAAUGGGCGAAAGCCUGAUGGAGCAAUGCCGCGUGAGUGAUGAAGGUCUUAUAGAUUGUAAAAUUCUUUUAUUUGGGAAGAAAAACUAAGGUAGGAAAUGACUUUAGUCUGACUGUACCAUUUGAAUAAGUAUCGGCUAACUAUGUGCCAGCAGCCGCGGUAAUACAUAGGUUGCAAGCGUUAUCCGAAUUUAUUGGGCGAAAAACGAGCGCAGGCGGGUUAACAAGUUUGGGAGGAAUGGCUUUUGCUAAACGAAGGUUUGUAUCAAAAACUGUUAGGCUAGAGUGUAGUAGAGAGUUCUGGAAUUCCAGGUGGAGCGGUGAAAUGCGUAGAUAUAUGGAAGAACACCAGUGGCGAAGGCGGGAACUUAGGCAAUCACUGACGCUUAGGCUCGAAAGUGUGGGGAGCAAAUAGGAUUAGAUACCCCAGUAGUC